UUUAAUAUGUCCUGCUAUUUCUAUCAUAGAAUUUUGUAAUUAUUUAUACAUUUAUUCAUUUAUCAGUUUUUUGCAAUUCUGUAUAAUCUAGUUAGAGGGCCACAGGUUAGUCAGCUUUUCAGCUGUUACGUGUCCCCCUCUUCAAAUAAAGUCUUCAUUAUUAUUAUAGUGGGUUUGAAUGGAGAAUCUCUGUAAAUAUUUAUUGUGUAAUUAGAUAUACUUUUUUGAACUUCCUAUGUAGAAUGCAUUUCAGUCACAUGAUGUUUUAAAGUUAAAGACUAUAGAGUCCUUAAGUGUGACGUCACGUUACCAUGGCGCUAAAAAAUGCAGUUCUAAACAAAAUAUCUUAUGCGAGCGAUUUGGACACGCUUUUUUGUUUUGAAUGUCUAAAGCUUUAGUUAUCCAGUGUAAUCCCACAAACGACAAUAAAAAAAACAGGAAAGGUUAAAGGGUCAUCCAAGGGAUCAACUUUCGUCGAAGAAGUGUAAAGGACGCGGGUCAAACGGGCAAAAUGGUUUACUGUUUUGCUCCUACAUGUGGCCAUUCGUCGGAGGACAACACUUGCAAGUUCUUCGCUUUUCCACGACGAGUAUAAGAGAUGGAUUCGACUCAUAAGAUUUCUUUUCUUCUGAGAAGAAAGAAAAAAGUGAAGCAAUGGAUAAUGUCUCCAUUUUGAAUCGAAUGGGCGCUUGUUUGGAACUGAGAUUUUUAGCACCAUGGAAACGUGACGUCACCACUUAAGGACUCUAUUA
This is a long non-coding RNA of Xenia sp. Carnegie-2017, 752 nucleotides long. RefSeq lists it as uncharacterized. The transcript is spliced from 2 exons. Lineage: Eukaryota; Metazoa; Cnidaria; Anthozoa; Malacalcyonacea; Xeniidae. The record is from RefSeq and is a predicted model, not a curated record.